UUGGAGGGCAAGUCUGGUGCCAGCAGCCGCGGUAAUUCCAGCUCCAAUAGCGUAUAUUAAAGUUGUUGCAGUUAAAAAGCUCGUAGUUGAAUUUCGGGAUCAAUGUUUCGGUCAUGCCGUUGGUAUGUACUGAUAUUAUUGAUUUCUCACCUUCUAAAGAACCGUAAUGCCAUUAAUUUGGUGUCACGGGGAAUUAGGACUGUUACCUUGAAAAAAUUAGAGUGUUUAAAGCAGGCUCACGCUUGAAUACAUUAGCAUGGAAUAAUGAAAUAGGACAUCCGAUUCUAUUUUGUUGGUUUCUAGGAUCGAUGUAAUGAUUAAUAGGGAUAGUUGGGGGCAUUAGUAUUCAAUUGUCAGAGGUGAAAUUCUUGGAUUUAUUGAAGACUAACUACUGCGAAAGCAUUUGCCAAGGAUGUUUUCAUUAAUCCAGAACGAAAGUUAGGGGAUCGAAGACGAUCAGAUACCGUCGUAGUCUUAACCAUAAACUAUGCCGACUAGGAAUCAGACGAUGUUAAUUUUUUAAUGACUCGUUCGGCGCCUUACGGGAAAC
RNAcentral lists this ribosomal RNA (550 nucleotides) under uncultured Glomeromycotina. Its description in RNAcentral is "SSU rRNA". It matches the Rfam family "Eukaryotic small subunit ribosomal RNA", at positions 548 to 1098 of the family's 1831-position model. Lineage: Eukaryota; Fungi; Glomeromycota. The record is from RNAcentral.